RNAcentral lists this non-coding RNA (117 nucleotides) under Gorilla gorilla gorilla (western lowland gorilla). The record is from Rfam by way of RNAcentral. Lineage: Eukaryota; Metazoa; Chordata; Mammalia; Primates; Hominidae.
GCUGGGCAUGGUGGCUCAUGCCUGUAAUCCCAGAACUUUGGGAGGCUGAGGCGGGUGGAUCACCUGAGGUCAGGAGUUCGAGACCAGCCUGGCCAACAUGGUGAAACUCUGUCUCUA